AGCGAACGCUGGCGGCAGGCCUAACACAUGCAAGUCGAACGAACUCUUCGGAGUUAGUUGCUGACGGGUGGUUACCACCUGGGAACUUGCCCUUUGGUUCGCAAUAUCUUAGGGAAACUUAAGCUAUGACAGAAAGUGCUCUUCCCGCGAAAGAUUUAUCGUCUUUUGAGAGUGCCGCAACAGAUUCGAUUGCUGGUUAGGUAACGGGCCACGAAGGCUACGAGCAGUAGCUGGUCUUAGCGGAUGACCAAGCACACUGGGACUGACACACGGCCCAGACUCCUGCGGGAGGAAGCAGUGGGGAAUGUUGCGCGACGGGCGAGAGAAUGACGCAGCCAUGUCGUGUGAAUGAUGAAGGUCUUAGGAUUGUAAAAUACUUUGAACGGUGACGAUAAUGACGGUACCCGGAGAAGAAGCCCCGGCUAACUACGUG
RNAcentral lists this ribosomal RNA (433 nucleotides) under uncultured bacterium. RNAcentral describes it as "partial 16S ribosomal RNA". It matches the Rfam family "Bacterial small subunit ribosomal RNA", at positions 29 to 507 of the family's 1533-position model. The record is from RNAcentral.